AAUCAACGCUGGCGGCGUGCCUCAGACAUGCAAGUCGAACGCUGCUGUUCGCCUUCGGGUGGACAGCGGAGUGGCGCACGGGUGAGUAACACGUAGGUAAUCUACCUUUGGGUGGGAAUAACAGCCGGAAACGGCUGCUAAUACCGCAUAAUGCAGCGGCAUCACAUGAUGACAGUUGUUAAAGCGAGGGAUCGUAAGACCUCGCGCCUGAAGAGGAGCCUGCGGCAGAUUAGGUAGUUGGUGAGGUAAUGGCUCACCAAGCCUGCGAUCUGUAACCGGCCUGAGAGGGCGGUCGGUCACACUGACACUGACAUACGGGUCAGACUCCUACGGGA
Molecule: ribosomal RNA, 335 nt
Filed under: uncultured bacterium
Lineage: Bacteria
Description: bacterial SSU rRNA
Rfam family: Bacterial small subunit ribosomal RNA
Source: RNAcentral